Gasterosteus aculeatus aculeatus (three-spined stickleback) is the source of this 2635-nucleotide long non-coding RNA. The record is from Ensembl. Lineage: Eukaryota; Metazoa; Chordata; Actinopteri; Perciformes; Gasterosteidae.
ACGGGUUACGGGAUAAACCUGAGGCAUGAGUGAUAUCGUGAAUACAUGAGAUGACUUUUGUGUGCGUGUGUGCAUCUCUUUUCUCUAAGGGACGUUAAACAUUCGGCGAACCAACACUAGGAGCUCCUGAGGAAGGAAAAAAAAAAAGAAAAGAACGUGGAGCCCCUGAAACAGACAAAGCACAAUGAGGCUUCUGUUGUUACAGCGACUCCCCCCUCCGUCCCCACGACACAUCUGCAGAACCAUGAACAGAUGUCUGAGGAAGCUUUCUUUCGGCCAGCGCAUCGCACACCUCCAUUUAUCAUUCUGUUUUCUCAGUCGCCACUUCUAGUUCCUUUCCUCUGGUUCCUUUCCUCUGGUCCUGGUCCUCUGGUCUGGUCCUCUGGUCUUGAUCCUCUGGUCCUGAUCCUCUGGUCCUGGUCGUCUGGUUCCUCUCCUCUAGUUCGUACCUCUCACAACGCUGUUUUAACAAACAUGUAAAUACUCACAGAGUCAAAACCGACCGAGUCAAAGAUGUAGACUCAUCCUAUUCCAGCAAAACCAGGACCACCGGGGACACAUCGCCCCCCCCGGUCAUGUUUCGAGGCUCCUGCUUGCGGUGGCGUCUCAAUUACCCCAUAUUACAUGCUGCUUCCCUGCAGCUUCUUUCUCUCAUAAUCUGAAUCCAAAUACUUUGUUGAUCCUCAGGGGGAAAUCUGAACGUGAAAUAGAAGAAACAACUAAAAUGCAAUAAACUAAAAUAUGAGGUGGACGCUGCCAUCAUGACGUCACUCACUGUUUGGUGGAUUGUUGGAAUCCGGCCGUCACCAUGUUGUUUUUGUUACCAUAGGCUGCAGCCUUGGAGUAUAAUGUAUAUUUCUACUUCAGAAUAAUAAGAAAUACAGAUUAAUUAUAUUUGGAUGCACGGGUUUCAUCCUGAUUUCGUGUCUGUGAAACAAACUAAGAGCUCUUUGCUCUUUCUGGGGAAGUUGGGAGCCGACCUUCCAUCAGCCGAUAAUUACUGUAAUUAGUAGUCCGGCUUUUCAAGAGCCCAACGGAGAGAGCGGCAGGCAUGUCGGGGGAGGGGGUGGGGCAAGUGCCUUUGGCAGGCAGUUAAGUUCACGGAGGCAGAACUUAUUUUCGGGUGAAGGAAAAGAAGAAAACUGGGGAGUCCGCUGUGAGAAACAACACACUCAGGAAUUUACAGUUGGCCUCAUAAAGCCAAUGAAAAGCAGAGCUCUAAAACAGCCGGCGCUGUCGGCUGAAGGUAAUCACAUGAGAGGAAGGAAAGACCGAGGCCAGCUAAAGAGCUCGGAGUGGACAACAAGCAGGCGGACACAACGACACACGCUGCUCCUCGCCAAUCAUUAAUGACCGAGCAUCGCUGCGGAUUCGCCCCUGCUGAUAAUUACCUGAACACCGUGAAAGGUGAUACAUGCGAACCGAGCGCCGGACUAUUAACCACCCCAGCAGCUGUCGCCGUGUGAAGGUGCUCGUUCGGGUUUCAGUACGCUUUAUAGCUCAAGGGAGGUGGGUGGGGGGGUGUCCCUAUGGCCGACAGGAAAAGCAGAGUCCAAAAUGACAGUUAACGGAGGUGAAAGCGCAAACCCCAAGUGGUUCGGGGGCCCCGACGGUCCUGAAUGAAUAUGUAAACAAAGGCGAGCUGGAUUUCCCUCCGACAUCUGAGUGAACUCCAUCCCGACACGUCCCACUGUUAAAUUAGCACACUAACCGCCGAGGCCUUCCGGGGGUCACGGGGAGGACGGUGGAGAGAAAAGGGGCCCCAUGCCGGCGAUAGUAUAGGAGCUCUGUGCUUGUUUUGUUUUGUUGUUUGUUUGCCAUCCGGCACCUUGUUUACCGUCAGCACGUAGGGUCAACAUUUAGACCCUGGCUGCUUUCUCACAGAGCAGAACACAACAAAGACAGGAGUCUGCUAGUCUGCACAUGGAGGCCCCCCUUACCAUGCCAAUCGGCCCAUGUGACGAACCAGGUCAAGUAUGCAAACUCUCGUGAGUAUGACCGACUCACAGUGGGACGAGAAGUGCUGGUGGAAGACGAUUUAGUGGCAAUUUGCGGCAAAAAGACAACGUAUGAGGGGAACAUUGUCCGUCCACGGAGGCGUUUGCCCACUGUCAUGGCGAACAUGUUCGUGGUGUGAGGGAAGAACGUCCAGAUAACUGCAUCGACAAUCACAUCAUCCGUUUCCCUCGUUACAAAUAUAAAAUUGCGCCCCCAGAGCUCAUUACGCUCAAUGGUUUUGGCUUCAACUGCGAGCGAAAAAAAAAAGAAUCCUCGAUAUCGUUGUUUUCCGAUUACUUUGAGCUCAACUCGACCCGGCUUCCAACUUCUGGAGGCCGUCAAUGUCCAGCGAUGACUUCUCAGCUCGGUAAUUGGUGUUUUCCUGCUGAAAGGUUUUCCCCUGUUCUCUUGUUUUACCUCUGGCAGGGGGGGGGUUGGACCCUAUCCAAAGAGGACGCAUCCUCUCAGCCUAAACACUCUCACUCUGGAUGUGGAGGAGGACACCUUCGAAUCGGCGAUGCACCCGAACCCGCUCACUCGCUGGAGGAAGUUGUUACACAAAGUCGAGGAUUCUGAGGAGGGCUCUGCUUUAUGUCCCGGGCACGGAACAACACUCGGGGCGACGGCUGGGGAACUC